AGUCUUUACGGUAUCUACAGCUGGCAAACACUGAGAGCGCGAGCAUAGAGGGAUUGCUAAUCCAGCCAGCCGCGCCGCCAACAUCUACAAAUACACAGAUCAACUAUCUACUCACAGACACCCGGAGCCCCCACGAGCAAAACUACAAUUGUCCAGUAAAAACAGCCAUGCACAAUAUGUUAAAAAGCUUUCCAGAUUUCAGCCAAUCAGAGAGCAGCACUGCCCAAAUAGAACUCCCUGGAGCAGCAGCGUCACACAUGUGAUGUCAUAACCACUGUCCACCAGAGAGUAGCACUGGGCAGAAAUAACACGGCUCCUGCUCAUUCUCCAUCAGUGAGGGGCCGAUGCUGGACACUGUAGGGACCCGGGAAUGCAGAUUCAUACACAGGUUUGGUUAGUGUCGUUCCAUGUACAUUUCUAUAAUAAACAUGGAAAUCAUCUUUCUUUUCUUUUGUUUUUCUAUCUUUGAUGCAGUAUUUCCAGGAUGAGGAGUCGCAUUUCCGGACCUACAGCAAGAAGUUGGAUGAAGACAUAACCCCUGGAAUCACGCACAUACACAGACACAUUUGCCCAAAUUCUAGAGGUAACCUCCUUUAGUAUGCCCAGAGGAAGGGCAGUACAGUAGCCAUGGAUUCCCUACAGGUUUCCUCCCCUCUGGAGGUUUUUCCUGUCCUGAGUUAGUUACUGUAUGCUCUUUGUGAGUGAUGGGAGGUUACAAAAAAUCCCUACACAAACAUUGUAAUAAAUAAUAAAUAAACUUUCCCCUUUUUUAAACUGUU
Hyla sarda is the source of this 779-nucleotide long non-coding RNA. RefSeq lists it as uncharacterized. Lineage: Eukaryota; Metazoa; Chordata; Amphibia; Anura; Hylidae. The transcript is spliced from 2 exons. The record is from RefSeq and is a predicted model, not a curated record.